RNAcentral lists this ribosomal RNA (423 nucleotides) under uncultured bacterium. RNAcentral describes it as "bacterial SSU rRNA". It matches the Rfam family "Bacterial small subunit ribosomal RNA", at positions 207 to 622 of the family's 1533-position model. The record is from RNAcentral.
AAGACCUUGCACUUUUGGAGCGGCCGAUGUCUGAUUAGCUAGUUGGUGGGGUAAUGGCCUACCAAAGCUUCGAUCAGUAGCUGGUCUGAGAGGACGGCCAGCCACACUGGGACUGAGACACGGCCCAGACUCCUACGGGAGGCAGCAGUGGGGAAUUUUGGACAAUGGGCGCAAGCCUGAUCCAGCCAUGCCGCGUGAGUGAAGAAGGCCUUCGGGUUGUAAAGCUCUUUCGCAAGGGAAGAAACGAUACAGUUUAAUAAGCUGUGUUAAUGACGGUACCUUGAUAAGAAGCACCGGCUAACUACGUGCCAGCAGCCGCGGUAAUACGUAGGGUGCGAGCGUUAAUCGGAAUUACUGGGCGUAAAGCGUGCGCAGGCUGUUUUGUAAGUCAGAUGUGAAAUCCCCGAGCUCAACUUGGGAACU